CUAUAAAUUAUUUCAACAGUGAGAUCACUCCUACCAUACUCUAGAGUAUUUCUUAUGUUUUUAUAUUUAUCUCCUAGAGCAUUAAAUAGGCCCACUCCCUUCUGUUCAUAAGAUAUUUUCUCAUCACAGUUUGCUAAGUCUUGUGUGAUCCUAUUAAAUUUAUCCAUAUGAUCUCCCGUGUCAAGAUUAGGAUUAAAUUUAAAACUAAAGAACUGUC
This 217-nucleotide long non-coding RNA is filed under the name Olea europaea (common olive). Its description in RNAcentral is "long non-coding RNA (OEUR_LNC001171)". Lineage: Eukaryota; Viridiplantae; Streptophyta; Magnoliopsida; Lamiales; Oleaceae. The record is from RNAcentral.